GACGAACGCUGGCGGCGUGCUUAACACAUGCAAGUCGAACGGAAAGGCCCUGCUUUUGUGGGGUGCUCGAGUGGCGAACGGGUGAGUAACACGUGAGUAACCUGCCCUUGACUUUGGGAUAACUUCAGGAAACUGGGGCUAAUACCGGAUAGGAGCUCCUGCUGCAUGGUGGGGGUUGGAAAGUUUCGGCGGUUGGGGAUGGACUCGCGGCUUAUCAGCUUGUUGGUGGGGUAGUGGCUUACCAAGGCUUUGACGGGUAGCCGGACUGAGAGGGUGACCGGCCACAUUGGGACUGAGAUACGGCCCAGACGCCUACGGGAGGCAGCAGGGGAGAAUAUUGCACAAUGGGGGGAAGCCUGAUGCAGCGACGCCGCGUGCGGGAUGACGGCCUUCGGGUUGUGAACCGCUUUCGCCUGUGACGGAGCGUGAGUGACGGUAAUGGGUAAAGAAGCACCGGCUAACUACGUG
This 468-nucleotide ribosomal RNA is filed under the name uncultured bacterium. RNAcentral's name for it is "partial 16S ribosomal RNA". It matches the Rfam family "Bacterial small subunit ribosomal RNA", at positions 28 to 507 of the family's 1533-position model. The record is from RNAcentral.